RNAcentral lists this long non-coding RNA (297 nucleotides) under Dromaius novaehollandiae (emu). RNAcentral describes it as "lncRNA (ENSDNVG00000013864.1)". Lineage: Eukaryota; Metazoa; Chordata; Aves; Casuariiformes; Dromaiidae. The record is from RNAcentral.
AAGUGUGUCUUCCUUAAAAACUUCAUUCAGUAUCACUUUUCAAAGUAGAACUGAUCCAGUUCAUGCUGAUACAGGUCUGGACUAGGUUAUCUCUGCAUCUGUCUCAGUUGUAAUGCUGUUGUCAGCAAGCACAAGCGGGAACAGUGUGCAGAUUGUUUUAAUUUGCGCUGGGGGACUGCAUUUGGCUCUAUGAAUGAGGACGCAUCUUUGAACGUUCCCUGCCUCUACUGAGCUCAGUGCUCCUGGUUUGCAGUUCUACAAUAUGAGUAUGCACUUAGCCAGCAGGAUCUGAGCUGG